RNAcentral lists this ribosomal RNA (560 nucleotides) under uncultured bacterium. RNAcentral's name for it is "bacterial SSU rRNA". It matches the Rfam family "Bacterial small subunit ribosomal RNA", at positions 42 to 639 of the family's 1533-position model. The record is from RNAcentral.
GGGCGCUUACACAUGCAAGUCGAGCGAGAAAGGGGCAACCUGAGUAAAGCGGCGUACGGGUGAGUAACACGUGGGUAAUCUACCUUUUAGUGGGGAAUAACCCUGGGAAACCGGGGCUAAUACCGCAUAAUCCUGUGAGGGGAAAGCAGCAAUGCGCUGAAAGAGGAGCCCGCGGCCGAUUAGCUAGUUGGUGAGGUAACGGCCCACCAAGGCGGUGAUCGGUAGCCGGCCUGAGAGGGCACACGGCCACACUGGCACUGAAACACGGGCCAGACUCCUACGGGAGGCAGCAGUGGGGAAUCUUGCACAAUGGAGGAAACUCUGAUGCAGCGACGCCGCGUGAGCGAUGAAGCCCUUCGGGGUGUAAAGCUCUUUCGGCAGGGACGAUAAUGACGGUACCUGAAGAAGAAGCUGCGGCUAACUACGUGCCAGCAGCCGCGGUAAUACGUAGGCAGCGAGCGUUGUUCGGAAUUACUGGGCGUAAAGAGUGUGUAGGCGGUGCUCUAAGUUCGGUGUGAAAUCUCCCGGCUCAACUGGGAGGGUGCGCCGGAAACUGGAGU